Molecule: unclassified non-coding RNA, 152 nt
Filed under: soil metagenome
Description: partial internal transcribed spacer 1
Source: RNAcentral
CCGAGUUAUACCAACUCAUCAACCCUGUGAACAUACCUAUAACGUUGCCUCGGCGGGAACAGACGGCCCAGUAACACGGGCCGCCCCCGCCAGAGGACCCCCUAACUCUGUUUCUAUAAUGUUUCUUCUGAGCUAAACAAGCAAAUAAAUUA